This is a non-coding RNA of Cinara cedri, 922 nucleotides long. NCBI's taxonomy places the organism in Eukaryota, Metazoa, Arthropoda, Insecta, Hemiptera, Aphididae. The record is from the annotation of a GenBank genome assembly.
AAAAAAAAAAAAACAUAUUGUAGUCAGCUGUGCGGCGAUGUUCCGCUCAUGUGGGUCAAAUGAGAGAAGAAAUAUAAAAUGAAAAAAAAAAAGUGGCGAAUAUUACGCAACUAUAUAAUUAUUGUUAUACACAGUUAUAGGUGUACACAAAUCCUUCGUGAUUUUAGUAUUUAGCUCGUCAGAUUAUUCUCUCGGAUCGAGAAAUAUUCGUGAUUGGUUUAUACCUAUUUUAUAUCAUGCUCGACGAUCAAUACGAUUUAUCAGACGAAAAUCUUCGUAGUUUGACCGCAGGAACGUAUCACUCUAAUCAAAUUGUAAUUGGCGAACGGUUCGUACGGCUCAAAACGACUUCCGGAAAAUUUAACGGAAUAAAAUGUAGGCCUAUCAAAUACACGUAUUAUAUACAUGACCCGAUAUCAUUAGUCUUAUAAAAAACUUUUCAAAUGUGUUCAGAGUAUACGUUUUUAAAUACCUUGUAUAAAUUAUAUUCGAAUGCUUUUAAAAGAAAGUAUUCGAUUAAAAUACAAAUACAUAUUAAAAAUGUUAAAAAUACUUCCAUUUCAAUUCGUUUGGUAUGCCUUAGAAGAUUCCUGCAUUAAACAAAAUUACAAAUAAACACUUAGAGUUAUUCAUUUAAAUAUAGGUUCAGGAAUUCCAGAUAUUACACAUUAUUUUAGCAUAGUAUUAUUUAAUCAUAUUUACUACUAAAUGAGCUUAUUAGGUUGACUUUAGUUAGAUAUGUAUCAUAUCAUAGUAUGUAUCAUUAUAGUGAAUUAUUGAUUUGUAACAAGACAUUUUAAAGACAUCCAACUACAAAUUCUUAGAACCAUUAUAAAUAUUAUUUUAGAAGCAAUUAAUACUCGUAAAAUUUGGAAAUUGUGUAGUAUAAUGACGCUAACACGACAAAAGUAUUUUAUGUUCU